UCAACACAGAGCUUGCAUCGCGUGACGGGCAGCAGGUACCGGGGUACGUGAAACUUUUUAGCGGCGCGGGAAGGAAACUGUUGCGGACUCCAUUCGACGGUGCAUUGACAUCUCUCCACGCCGCCGCUAACCGGCCUAUGACGAUAAGACUGCCCUCUUCUUUGACAGCUCAAAGCCCAAAAGUGUUAAUGCCAUGGCAAGUAACAAGGAAAAGCAAGAGAUUCUGUGGAAAUAUUCCCUGGAAUGCCUGAAGGAUCACAUCACAGAGGAUGUCAUGAAGGAACUCGCAUCAGCAUAAGUAACCUGGGACCCGAUUCACAAAGCCUUUCCUCAAAGAAAAGUGACAAAAAAAAUCAGUGACAAAUCUGCUGAUAUCCAAUCACAAACAAGGAUUUUAGUAGCUUAUAACAAAAACUGUCAUUGGUCACUGAUGAAAAGUUCUGUCAAACGCCUCUCUGGACCCUUCGGACAAUUGUUUAUAUUUUUUAAAGGUGAAAUAAUGCCUGUGCAAUAAAUUCUCUUAUCAAUUACAAAUGACAGAAAUCAGUGACAAAUCUGCUGAUAACCAAUCAGAAGCAAGGAUUUCAGUAGCUUAUAACAAAUACUGUUAUUGUUCACUGAUGACAAGUUUUGUGAAACGCCCCCGCUUGACCCUUCGGACAAUGUUUGUAUUUCUUGAAGAUGAAAUAAAGCCUGUGCAAUGAAUUCUCUAAAAGUCUUUGUGAUGACUGGAUAAACAUUGCCGAUAAGCGGCCCUACAUUGCAUGAAUUCCUGAGAUAAUUUGUCGAUUAUUUAAUGUUAACUGACUGCUAAGAAAGCAUUUGGAUGUGUAUACUGUAGUGGUAUAAGCUGUUCUUAUCAAAUUCCAGUAAAUAAUUGUGGCAAUGUGAUUUAUUUCUGAACGAUAAAAGUCAUAUCCUCUUGAUCCAUUUCUAAGAGUCUUUUAGAUUAAUCAACAAAUUUCGAGACGAAAAAACUAUAUCUAUCAAGAAUAAAUUAUAUUUUCACAAUCAUUUCAUGAAUAGAAGAAAGAAAAGUUGUUUCAACUUUAUUGACAACAGUUUAUUCAUGUAUACAUGCAUACAUUUAUAAUUCCCAAGAAUU
Strongylocentrotus purpuratus (purple sea urchin) is the source of this 1105-nucleotide RNA transcript. RefSeq lists it as uncharacterized. The record is from RefSeq and is a predicted model, not a curated record. The transcript is spliced from 3 exons. NCBI's taxonomy places the organism in Eukaryota, Metazoa, Echinodermata, Echinoidea, Camarodonta, Strongylocentrotidae.